Molecule: ribosomal RNA, 251 nt
Filed under: uncultured prokaryote
Description: partial 16S ribosomal RNA
Rfam family: Bacterial small subunit ribosomal RNA
Source: RNAcentral
ACGUAGGGAGCAAGCGUUGUCCGGAAUUACUGGGCGUAAAGAGCUCGUAGGCGGGUUCGUAAGUCUUAGAGUAAAUCUCACGGCUCAACCGUGGGGCCUUCUGAGAUACUGCGAAUCUUGAGGAUGUCAGAGGAAAGUAGAAUUCCCGGUGUAGCGGUGAAAUGCGUAGAUAUCGGGAGGAAUACCAGUGGCGAAGGCGACUUUCUGGGACAUUCCUGACGCUCAGGCACGAAAGCGUGGGGAGCAAACAG